GUGGGGAAUAUUGGACAAUGGGCGAAAGCCUGAUCCAGCCAUGCCGCGUGUGUGAAGAAGGUCUUCGGAUUGUAAAGCACUUUAAGUUGGGAGGAAGGGCAGUAAGUUAAUACCUUGCUGUUUUGACGUUACCGACAGAAUAAGCACCGGCUAACUUCGUGCCAGCAGCCGCGGUAAUACGAAGGGUGCAAGCGUUAAUCGGAAUUACUGGGCGUAAAGCGCGCGUAGGUGGUUUUGUAAGUUGGAGGUGAAAUCCCCGGGCUCAACCUGGGAACUGCCUCCAAAACUGCAUGACUAGAGUACGGUAGAGGAUAGUGGAAUUUCCUGUGUAGCGGUGAAAUGCGUAGAUAUAGGAAGGAACACCAGUGGCGAAGGCGACUACCUGGACUGAUACUGACACUGAGGUGCGAAAGCGUGGGGAGCAAACAGGAUUAGAUACCCGUGUAGUCC
RNAcentral lists this ribosomal RNA (450 nucleotides) under uncultured bacterium. RNAcentral describes it as "partial 16S ribosomal RNA". It matches the Rfam family "Bacterial small subunit ribosomal RNA", at positions 354 to 796 of the family's 1533-position model. The record is from RNAcentral.